This 1920-nucleotide ribosomal RNA is filed under the name Triticum aestivum (bread wheat). RNAcentral describes it as "partial small subunit ribosomal RNA". The record is from RNAcentral. Lineage: Eukaryota; Viridiplantae; Streptophyta; Magnoliopsida; Poales; Poaceae.
UCUCAGUAUAAAACAAUCAUAGCUGGUAACGUAUAGGGCACAUAAAUCCAGUGGAAGGAGUAGAGGCAGGCGGCCGGGUUUUUAGGUGGAAGAGGAGACAAGAGGAAGAGAGGGUUCGGCGGGGGUACGGCUAAGUCGGGGUUGGACGUCGGAGGAAGAGAGGGAUCGGCGGGGUACGGCUAAGUCGGGGUUGGACGUCGUACGUUCCUCGUUCCCCCUUGAUCUAGCCGGGGUUGUCCCGUUCUCGGGGCACGUGGUCUAGAUAGUAGGGGUAGCACCCUCGUCGGUACCGGAGGGACUUAGGAAAACAGGUAGGUUUCCUAGACGCGGCUGCUCGUGUCCCGCUCCAGGACCACGUGGCCUAGGCAGCGGGGGGUGAUGUCCUCCUCGGUACCGUAGGCCAAGUGGCACGCAAGACGGGAAGAGGUUCUUACCUAGAUGCGGCUGCUGGGGUAUGACGGGUUCCUUUGACUCUCUACACGUAGAUGUGUUAUAUAAACGAGUCGAGUAGUACCAGAGUUGAUUCAGCACUUCGACGAACAAACUGGUUAACUGGUUGUACAUCUAGAACCGCGUGCUGUCUCAAUGGCACACCACACUGGCCCCGAAGAAGGUGAUACUGGGGAGGACGGGACGGAGAAGCCACCGGGGCUAAGAAGAAGGUGAGACCCUAUCGAGCACCUAUACCAUGUAGUAGUAGUGGCUACUUCUCCUCUUCCCCAAAUAGCACAGUCCUUUCCACACACCACCAUCCGAACCAGAGGCCGGAGCCGUAGAAGGCAACCGGGGCCACGGCGCGCCGACUCCGCUACAACAAACCGUAGUCGAUGUUUUAUCGGUACCACUCGAGGAGAGGUAGCGGACGAUUAAGUACAUUAUAAGUGUACUACAAGUUCUAAGAGAAUACAUACCAAAAUCUGUAAAUCUUCACCCCAAGUCACUCCGAUUUUUUGUAAGUCAAUAAACAUGCACGGUUAAGUUCAUUGACAAAAAAACUCUACCGACACUACAAGGAAAAGAAAAACUGGACAACAAAAAAACGUGGAAACUACUAGAAAAUGUAGAUAUCACCAAAUACGUGACAUUACCAAUUAACUGACGUUGUAUUGUAUUACAUCAACAUAACAUUUUCAUUGAAUCGUUCACCCUAUGGUAUGUACAAGGACGUAACAAACAGUUCACACCAAAAAUAAAGUCUUCCGUUGUCUCUCCGUACUGUGCGUACGAAACGACGUUUUCAAGUUUUUAACACAGAAGAAGUACGCUAAUUUGAAUCCUUAACUCUCCGAUAAAAGAUCUGUGUACGUCAAAGUAAAGCUCGAACCAACUGAAAGCUCUCCAAACUUUUGUACGUAACAUUGAGUCUAUCUAGUAUAUCGUGACAUGAAUAAAAGACCAUAAAACAUAUUUGUCUAUUUAUAAAACAAGAAUAAAAGUCAAUAAAUGUCCAAUAACGGCUGUACUCCAGAUAUACAGGUACCAACAACACGAUGACAAUUAUACUACGUCUAAAAACACAAGAAUGCAUUCGACGGAUUAAAAAUAUAAAAUAGAUUCACGGCUUGAACACUAAGAAUAUGAGUCGGAGUACAAAACACUCGGUCUACAAGGAGAAAUUCUGGACCUACCCGUUGGACAACGUUCACGAGUUCCCCACAAGUCUCGUAUAUGAAGAGUUCCGGUUGUAACACUACGUACACAUCAAUCAAAUCUUCACAAAACCAUAUCGUUGUGCUCGAUUAUACAUCAAACCAGACAUCAAGUAACAUAUACGUUCAGCUUAACAGGAUUGGUAAAAUACUUUGAAUUAGAUCGAAAAAUAACCUAACGACCCACCAUACUUAUACAACAUACUACUUAUUAAAACUUAAUACCAACCAUAUUUAGGUUUAAACCGUACACAAUGAUCCCGUUAUACCG